This 468-nucleotide ribosomal RNA is filed under the name uncultured bacterium. RNAcentral's name for it is "partial 16S ribosomal RNA". It matches the Rfam family "Bacterial small subunit ribosomal RNA", at positions 28 to 507 of the family's 1533-position model. The record is from RNAcentral.
GACGAACGCUGGCGGCGUGCUUAACACAUGCAAGUCGAACGGAAAGGCCCUGCUUUUGUGGGGUGCUCGAGUGGCGAACGGGUGAGUAACACGUGAGUAACCUGCCCUUGACUUUGGGAUAACUUCAGGAAACUGGGGCUAAUACCGGAUAGGAGCUCCUGCUGCAUGGUGGGGGUUGGAAAGUUUCGGCGGUUGGGGAUGGACACGCGGCUUAUCAGCUUGUUGGUGGGGUAGUGGCUUACCAAGGCUUUGGCGGGUAGCCGGCCUGAGAGGGUGACCGGCCACAUUGGGACUGAGAUACGGCCCAGACUCCUACGGGAGGCAGCAGUGGGGAAUAUUGCACAAUGGGCGGAAGCCUGAUGCAGCAACGCCGCGUGCGGGAUGACGGCCUUCGGGUUGUAAACCGCUUUCGCCUGUGACGAAGCGUGAGUGACGGUAAUGGGUAAAGAAGCACCGGCUAACUACGUG